This 323-nucleotide ribosomal RNA is filed under the name uncultured beta proteobacterium. RNAcentral's name for it is "bacterial SSU rRNA". It matches the Rfam family "Bacterial small subunit ribosomal RNA", at positions 172 to 490 of the family's 1533-position model. The record is from RNAcentral. Lineage: Bacteria; Pseudomonadati; Pseudomonadota; Betaproteobacteria.
CAUAAUCUCUGAGGAGAAAAGCAGGGGAUCGCAAGACCUUGCGCUUUUGGAGCGGCCGAUGUCUGAUUAGCUAGUUGGUGAGGUAAAGGCUUACCAAGGCUUCGAUCAGUAGCUGGUCUGAGAGGACGACCAGCCACACUGGGACUGAGACACGGCCCAGACUCCUACGGGAGGCAGCAGUGGGGAAUUUUGGACAAUGGGGGCAACCCUGAUCCAGCCAUGCCGCGUGAGUGAAGAAGGCCUUCGGGUUGUAAAGCUCUUUCAGCCGGAACGAAACGGUCACGGUUGAUAACUGUGAUCACUGACGGUACCGGAAGAAGAAG